Molecule: long non-coding RNA, 430 nt
Organism: Scylla paramamosain (green mud crab)
Lineage: Eukaryota; Metazoa; Arthropoda; Malacostraca; Decapoda; Portunidae
Exons: 3
Source: RefSeq, a predicted model, not a curated record
CACACUGGCGUGCACCAGUAACUCCCUCGCCGCCCACUUGACAUGAAGGCUGUGGUGAGUACAGGCAGCAAGAAGACCCCAGAUUCGCCGCGUUGGUCAAAACAAGCUAAUUAUCAUCCUGACCACCACCACAGCCGUCCUGUGCCAACCCAACAUGUGGUCAAACAUGGAUCAGCAUUACCUAACGAUGAAUAACUACGUUACUCCGUAUUCACCUUCCUAUGGAACAUCAUUUAAUGAACCUUACGGAAAUACUUACUAUCUCUUCGUCUUCUACCCAUACGUCUACAAAGGCACCAAGAAAUUCAAUACUGUGAAGACCGCUACUUAAGAACAACUAACGAUACCCAUCUGUACCCAUCCUUGUUGGAUGGCACUGGCGUCUGUAACUAAAUAGAAAUAGUAAAUGUAGACCAGUGUUAAUAAAAUC